RNAcentral lists this ribosomal RNA (446 nucleotides) under uncultured bacterium. Its description in RNAcentral is "bacterial SSU rRNA". It matches the Rfam family "Bacterial small subunit ribosomal RNA", at positions 331 to 794 of the family's 1533-position model. The record is from RNAcentral.
CCAGACUCCUACGGGAGGCAGCAGUGGGGAAUAUUGCACAAUGGGGGAAACCCUGAUGCAGCGACGCCGCGUGAGUGAAGAAGUAUCUCGGUACGUAAAGCUCUAUCAGCAGGGAAGAAAAUGACGGUACCUGAUUAAGAAGCCCCGGCUAACUACGUGCCAGCAGCCGCGGUAAUACGUAGGGGGCAAGCGUUAUCCGGAUUUACUGGGUGUAAAGGGAGCGUAGACGGCAGCGCAAGUCUGGAGUGAAAGGCCGGGCCCAACCCCGGAACUGCUUUGGAAACUGUGCAGCUCGAGUGCAGGAGAGGUAAGCGGAAUUCCUAGUGUAGCGGUGGAAUGCGUAGAUAUUAGGAGGAACACCAGUGGCGAAGGCGGCUUACUGGACUGUAACUGACGUUGAGGCUCGAAAGCGUGGGGAGCAAACAGGAUUAGAUACCCCCGUACAA